CAACAUCAUGACCUGAGCUGAUGUCAGAUGCUUGACCACCAGAGCCACCCAGGGAGCCCCUGGGAGAGCCCAUGGAUGAUGACUCAACAUAACCCAUCUGUAUAGCUGAAAAGAAUGUUUGGGACAGACGUUCAGCCGCACCAGGCUUCAUCAACAGAUGAGGGCUGCCUUCAAGAUAAUCUCAAAAAGGGGAGUUCCCAGGACCUGUCAGAGGAGGGGCUGUUCUGAGUAGAACCAUUUGUGUGGAGUGUCUGAAUAGAAGGAGCCAAGAACAGAAGGCUAUCCAGUGGACCAAAAUUUGGAAUGGGAGACCCAGGCUGAGGCAGGAUAGAGAGAUUAUAGAGAUUGUCAGUAAGGACUCAAGCAGAGCUAAGUCAAGUGUAAAGGGGUUAAGUGGGGCUAUUGGUGGUUCAGCUAAUUCUGGGAGCCCUGCAUGCUUAUCCGCUGUUUCCUUUUAUUUGGGCCCUUGCAGGAUCAAUGUGGUUUGUGCGAGUCAAUGUAUACAUUUCCCUGAUGAUUAGGAGUUUGUAACUGCAAAAUACGUGCUAGCUUAAUCCCUCUAGAUCUCAAUUUCCUCAUCUGUGAAGGGAAAACAAUAGCAAUGCAUAGCUCACAGAUUGGCAUGGGGGUCAAGCUGAUGGAUGUGAAAGCACUUUGUGUAAAGGGCUGUGAAUAUUACUUUUAUGAUUAUUACUAAUAAUACCAAUAAGAAGAGAACUCAAAAGUAUUUCCUCUCCUAGGAUAAACAUUUUCAUGGUCUUCUAGAAUGUUAUAAAUGGGCAUGAGUCCUGUACGACGUGGACACUUUAUGAAGAAGUUGUGGGUGUCUGUGGCAUAGUGGCCCGCACUGGAUAGUUGGGUAGGUUGUACCAUGCACAAGGGUGCUCUGCUGAGCAGGUGAGUGGGCACUGACAUCCAGCCAGCAGCAAGUGGGCUGCAUCUAUGUUUGAUUCCACAAGGCCCUCUACAAGCCGGCAGUGGCUCCAAGGGCACCCACCAGCACACUUCUGUAAAUGUUUAGAAUCACUUGGCCUUUGCUUACCAAAACCGGUAACGGGGAGUCAGUUGACUUUCUUCAGCGAUGGACAUUUUCAUAACGACUUUCCCAUCUGUAUCUCCAGUGACAGGCAGUCUCUCCUCUACUUACAUGCCCUGCCUUCCUUUCAAACUCACCAUAUCCGUAUUCAAAACUCCACUUUUCUCAAUUCAGAAUUUGGGUUGGAUUCUCUACUUCUCACCUGCUGUGUUUGAUACUCCUUUUCAUCUACCCCACCUGGAUGCUGCUUAUGACAUCGAGUGACAAGAAGCUCACUACCUUGUGAGGUAGCCAAUUCCACUUGUAAGCAACUCUUAGCACUCGGAAACUUCUACAUAUUGAAUCUGCAUCUGCCUGCCUGAGCUCCACCGGACGCCCACACCCAGCAGUUGGGAGAUCAGAAAGACACCAUCUGCUGAUUAAUAAACAGACAUGUAUUCACUUAUAAGUUGAUUGAAUCAGGGUGUCUCUUGAUGUCCCUGUUCUGAAUGUUCAUACAUUCCACCACAUACUCCCUUAUCUAAGUCACACCCAGAGGCUAUGUGGCUCGGAUGAAUCACAUCUGAACUGACCAUCCUCCCUGGAAUCCAUGGGCUGCAGAGGACGUGAAUUUAGCCAAAGUGGACACCUGCCAUGGACUCAGAACAGGAGUGGUUCUGGAGGAGCACAUCUUUACAGAGUCCAUUUGGGGCCCUGACCGCAAGGCCUGAGGAUCAUGGAUGGUGCUUCUGUGGAGCACUCCCUGCAUGCUCAGUCCUGGGUUGUGCGGAGCAUGUGAUGGAACCAGAAUAAAUCAAAAGACCUGGGUCCUAGCACCUCAGAUAGAAGAGAGGAAUGGUGGCUGGUUUGGGACAGCAAGUUAAGGCAUUUCGUGGGCUUUUUAUCUAUCUAGGCCAGAUUGGGACCUAGCACCCCACAAUGUCCCCCAAACGAAUUAAUAUUCUGCCUCAAGAUCCACAAAUCUCUCCAGCCCCUCUGAGCUCGCUGACUUCCCCUCUCGCUCUGGAGCGUGUUCAUUUCCCUGGGCGUUGCAAGCGCUUGCGCUCUCAGGGCUCGGCUGGGGCCUUGGUCUGCCCUCCUCCAAGUGGAGACGAAGAGCUACAGAGGUACGGGGGCCCCUCAGCCAUUCACCUGCGGUAUCUCCAGCUCAGUGUCCCAGAGACAUUAAGAGUCAAAGGGGAGAUGAUUUGCUUUGUUUUUUAAAGAGAUGCUGAAGAAGCAGAAUGAAGCACAAAGUCAAGAGGAGUCCGUCAUUCCACUGCCCAAAGGUUUACAGGCGGAAAAAAAUCCUUUCAUGAGAAGGGUACUCACACCAGUUUGCAAGGCACUUCCAGUUUCCAGAAGGGACACCGAGGCCCCCCGGUUUAAAAGGGCU
Molecule: long non-coding RNA, 2411 nt
Organism: Herpailurus yagouaroundi (jaguarundi)
Lineage: Eukaryota; Metazoa; Chordata; Mammalia; Carnivora; Felidae
Exons: 3
Source: RefSeq, a predicted model, not a curated record